This is a non-coding RNA of Drosophila virilis, 599 nucleotides long. The record is from RefSeq and is a predicted model, not a curated record. NCBI's taxonomy places the organism in Eukaryota, Metazoa, Arthropoda, Insecta, Diptera, Drosophilidae.
CUCAUGAACAAAAUACACAGCUGUAACAACUAUGAAAAUGUAAACAACAAAGAUCGGGCCCCGGUUCCGGACCCAGCGUACCCGCCCUACCAUGAGACGAUCACCUCCACCCGUCUCCCUCAUUUUGGCCACCAAAUGGCCUAUAUUAGCCCGUGUCGGCCAUAAUGCCCACUCUCCCCAGCAAUAUUAUUUUAGCCGGACAUGAUUUCUUUCAAUUGCUGUUUAGGAUCUCAUGCAAGCGGAUAAUUCAUUAACUUCACAGAAUUAAUUUUUUUUAUUUUUUUACAACACUGAAUGGAACAGGCGACGAAACACUACAAGGAUAUUGCUAGUCGCCGCAAAAGAAACGCGCAAUGAGGCACUUUAGAGGCAAUCGUUGCCCCGAUUUAGGAACAAUGGCCCGCACAAUUACUUAAAACUGGAGCUCUCUGGGGGUGGUAAGGGGCGAUAUAAAUGCGUAAAUUCAAAUUAGGCGCAGAUGCAUCACCGUUGGAGUUUUCCUCACCGUUCGCACUCUAAAGUGAAGCUCGGCGUAAGUGCCUAUGGAGUGCAAUUAGGAGUCUUCUUCUGACUCUGCCAGGGGCUCGAACGAGGAUGGG